UACGAAGGGGGCUAGCGUUGCUCGGAAUCACUGGGCGUAAAGGGCGCGUAGGCGGCCGAUCAAGUCAGGGGUGAAAGCCUGUGGCUCAACCACAGAAUUGCCUUUGAUACUGUUCGGCUAGAGACCGGAAGAGGUGAGUGGAACUGCGAGUGUAGAGGUGAAAUUCGUAGAUAUUCGCAAGAACACCAGUGGCGAAGGCGGCUCACUGGUCCGGUUCUGACGCUGAGGCGCGAAAGCGUGGGGAGCAAACAGGAUUAGAAACCCGAGUAGUCC
This 273-nucleotide ribosomal RNA is filed under the name uncultured bacterium. RNAcentral describes it as "partial 16S ribosomal RNA". It matches the Rfam family "Bacterial small subunit ribosomal RNA", at positions 524 to 796 of the family's 1533-position model. The record is from RNAcentral.